This is a long non-coding RNA of Carassius gibelio (silver crucian carp), 2098 nucleotides long. RefSeq lists it as uncharacterized. The transcript is spliced from 3 exons. The record is from RefSeq and is a predicted model, not a curated record. Lineage: Eukaryota; Metazoa; Chordata; Actinopteri; Cypriniformes; Cyprinidae.
GUAUGUGCCAUUUAUUCGUUAUAUGGUUUUUCAAAUAUACAUUUCUAAGAGUCAAAUUACUUAUCUGGCACAUGCGUGCUAAUAGACAGAGCAGCUUCAUCUCUGUCCAGUUUUCUAUUGUAUUAAUCAUUGCAUAUGUAUUAUACAGUAUAUUCAUUGUGGGAUUGUAUUUGUUGUGGUAACUGUAAUUUGUUAUACUUGUAUAUUAUUUGUAUAUCUUUAUUUUAUAGACAAACCACACACAGACAUGCGUAGCAGAAUUUCUUCAGUAUACUGAGUUGCGGUGACUAUAAAUGGGUUAUUCCCACCUACCUGAUGCUUCAUAGCGUGCACAGCGGUCACACUGGUAAAUUCCAGAAAUAUUUUGCCUCUUCUGUUAUUGAGCAAGAGUGAAACUUGGAACGUUUGAUUAGCUCAGCUUGUUGCGCAAGGGUUAAAUGUAAUAUUGAAAAAAAACCCAGCUGUCUUGUUCUUGUUUCCUCAAUCUGCAUACACUGUUUCAACACAUUAACUUUCACCAGGCUUGGAGCUGGUGCAGCUAGUCCUCAAAAGGAUAUUUCUUCAGCGUAUAAAACAUUUCAGAAAAAAUAAAUAUUAAUCCUGCAAGGAAAAGGAACGCUGUGAUUUGUUUUUAUGACCACAUUUGUGUGUGAGUGUGUAUGAGACAUCUUUCUGCACAUGCUCAGACCUGAGAGACCUUGCCUUCAAACCACAUCCUGAUUCACACAAGAUACAAGAUCAGCUGUAAGAUCUGAGGAUUUUACCAAAUCAGCUCACCUGUUCAAACAGAUCACUUCAAACUCCUAGACAAGCCAUGGAUUUUGAGAACAGCAAAGAAGGAUGUAAAAACUGCCAAAAGAAUUGCAAUAACAAAUGCCAAUGUCAUCGUCAUACAAUAACCCAAAGUCCUAAACCUAAGCAAAGGACUGAGGAGAAGACGUCUGAAGGGCCUUCAAAAGAGUGUGGCUUCUGUGAUUGCGGCCUCUGUUAUUUUGUCCCCUUUGACUGUGGCUCCUGUGAUUGUGGCCCCGAUGAUGGUGGCUCUGGUGGUGCUGGUGAUGGUAGCUCAUGUGAUUGUGGACCCUGUGAUUGCGACCCCUGUGAUUGCGGCCCCUGCGAUUGCGGUUCCUGUGAUUGUGGCUCCUGUGAUUGUGGCUCCUGUAUUAUUCAGUGAAUAUUUGCAGGAUGUUUGUCAGAUGGGUAUAGCAAAUGUCAGCUCCAGUGAAGAACAUCAUCAACACAAAGACAACAGCACUAUGAUCUACAAUAAACAUCAGGACAUCUGUAGUGCCAUCGUGGAUGUUAAACAUCAUAAAGACAAUAUUAUCUAUACAUAUAAAUACAGUUCCAACCAAAAUAUCAAAGUCAAUUAAAUAGCAAAUCAGUUAAGUGCUUAAUGUUUUUUCUGUAUUUAUUAAUAAUAUUCCUAAAUAGGUUAACUAUAUCCUCAAAUAUGAGUAAUAGGUAUUACAUCUUACUUAUUCUUUAAAAGUCUUACAAUGCAAUUUGCCUUAUACAUUUACAGAAAAACCAGAGUACAGGCAGUUUUAGUUUAAAGCUAAAAAGAUUAUAAUCGCUAAUUAUAAAUUAUAAAAUUAUAAGAGCCUAUUUGAAAAAUACUGUUCGCUGAUGCUAACUGGCAAGUUAACUAGCUACCUGAUGCUAACUUGAGGUAAUUUUAAAUAACUACGAUGAUUGCCCAGACUAUUUGAGAAAAAAAAUAUGAUGUCAUUCUAAAUAUAUUUAUAUGUUUCUUAAAUAACAUGUUCUAUGGACCUAGUGUUUUCAUAACUUAUAUAACUGUGAUUUUCUACAAAACAAACUUUAAAACACUUUUUUGUGUCUAUUACUCCUGAAAAUUAGUUCAUUUACUGUGAAAUGUAUUGUCUCUCAAGGUACUUCACCAGUGUAAGCUUUGUCGUGAAUACUUCUACGUCCCUCUUGUCAAUGCAGUUACAUAGUGACAAUAAAAUGUAUCUUGACUUGAUUUUGUAUUUAUUUUUGGAGAGAAACGUUUUACCCCACUUUACACUUUAGAAAAAUCCAGGCUGCUUCAACUAAUUAUUAUUUAGUAACUAGUUGCACAGAAACUUUACGU